CAAAUAUCUUGUGAGCUGGUGGGAUUCGCUGAGGAAUGAAGAAAAUGAAAAGAGCAUUUCAAAUUUAUCCUUAUUGUACAUAGCUGGGGGGACAUUGAGACUGCUGGAUGAUAUUACCUGGCAUUUUGUGUUACCAUAUAUUGGGGCAUUAAUGCAGGGACAAGAGGGUGAGGCUGCAGCUGAGGAAGCAAAGAAGAGCAAUCACGUCCAGAGGAGAGCAGUUCAAAGCGGAUCCUUUUAACUUGUUACUGAUAUCAUCUUGAGAUCAAUGGCUCUUAUGCUAAGUGAACUUUUACGAGUCAAUAUUUCACCAUCCCAGUUGCAUGAACCGAGGGUGCGGAGACUGGAUGCAGCUAGCUUAGAUUAAGAUGAAAGAAGUGUUGUGAUCGGGUGUUAGGCAGUGGCAAUUGCAACUAUAAUGAAACCAUGGUAUUUAAUUUUUUUUUCAGUCUGUCCAUAAGAUACAUAAGGGCACGCAUAGAUAUAGUAUUCCACUUCAUAUUUCCUUUGUGAUGUUUAGCACUGACAGCAAGGUCUACUCUUUAAUGUUUAGCACUGCUGGCUAGAUCGAGCUUUGUCAAUCUGGUUUAUGCAGAUUUCAGCAAUUAA
Molecule: long non-coding RNA, 609 nt
Organism: Panicum virgatum (switchgrass)
Lineage: Eukaryota; Viridiplantae; Streptophyta; Magnoliopsida; Poales; Poaceae
Exons: 5
Source: RefSeq, a predicted model, not a curated record